UACACUCCUGCGGGGGCAGCAGUGGGGAAUUUUGGACAAUGGGGGCAACCCUGAUCCAGCAAUGCCGCGUGAGUGAAGAAGGCCUUCGGGUUGUAAAGCUCUUUUGUCAGGGAAGAAACGGUAGUAGCGAAUAACUAUUACUAAUGACGGUACCUGAAGAAUAAGCACCGGCUAACUACGUGCCAGCAGCCGCGGUAAUACGUAGGGUGCAAGCGUUAAUCGGAAUUACUGGGCGUAAAGCGUGCGCAGGCGGUUGUGUAAGUCAGAUGUGAAAUCCCCGGGCUCAACCUGGGAAUUGCAUUUGAGACUGCACGGCUAGAGUGUGUCAGAGGGGGGUAGAAUUCCACGUGUAGCAGUGAAAUGCGUAGAUAUGUGGAGGAAUACCGAUGGCGAAGGCAGCCCCCUGGGAUAACACUGACGCUCAUGCACGAAAGCGUGGGGAGCAAACAGGAUUAGAUACCCCUGUAGUCCCAUGAU
RNAcentral lists this ribosomal RNA (477 nucleotides) under uncultured organism. Its description in RNAcentral is "partial 16S ribosomal RNA". It matches the Rfam family "Bacterial small subunit ribosomal RNA", at positions 332 to 801 of the family's 1533-position model. The record is from RNAcentral.